UUGGAGUGGAUCUUUAAGGAUGAUAUGGUGCCGCUGUCAGACUCCUCCCCCUCUCCUCUCCACUUGGCUGUUUCUCCAUCCCAGCUGCUGCCACUUACUUCAUCACCUCUUCUGCCUUCAUAAGGAGCCUCUGGAUUACCAGUCUUCGCCAGUCCGUUGCCCCUGAUGGGAUCCAUUGUCACAAGUGGUCGCCUGCAUCAACCUCUGUCUGGAACCUUCCCUCCGUUCGCUCCUGUUGGUCCCACCUCGAGCCUCUGCCGUCUUCUGCCAUCUCUUGGACCCCCUCCGACGUCAACUCCUUCCGACUGCCUGCAGAAAGAUCCAGCAGUGACGCCACUCGAGUUCGAUCUUCACUCUCUGGGAACCCUAGAUCCUGCCCACGGUUUUCUGUCUGUUCACUAUUAAACCCUCUUACCUGCCA
Oryzias latipes (Japanese medaka) is the source of this 421-nucleotide non-coding RNA. Lineage: Eukaryota; Metazoa; Chordata; Actinopteri; Beloniformes; Adrianichthyidae. The record is from RefSeq and is a predicted model, not a curated record.